Molecule: long non-coding RNA, 842 nt
Filed under: Stylophora pistillata
Lineage: Eukaryota; Metazoa; Cnidaria; Anthozoa; Scleractinia; Pocilloporidae
Description: uncharacterized LOC111335765, transcript variant X1
Source: RNAcentral
UAAAGGUACAUCUGACGAAGUUUGAGUUUUUUUCUUUGUUUGGUCCCAAAAUUUAUUAUAACUACCAUUCUCAAUCAACCUUGCUUGGGAUGCUAUAAACUGGUUGUGCCAUUAAGGAAAGUGCAUCCAAUUCAUACUCGUGGAGACAUGUUUACACUAUGGGGCUUCAUUUGCAUCAUCUACAGACACACGUCGAGGUUGUUUUUGUUUCCAUGUAAGCUGGACUCGUUCGAUCAGGACCAACAGAGAGAAAAACAACAUGGAAAUGGAGGAUAAUCAGUUGAAUCUGGAUAAGAACUCAUCUUCUCAAAUGCAUUUCACAUUUACAACCUGAACAGGAACAGAAAACAUGCCGCUCCCAACUGUUUGCACAAGGACAGGAGAUGAUAGUGAAAACAAAAUCAAUUGAAACUGAACGACCGCUGGAACUGGUUACCAUUGUACAAAGGCCAAAGGAGAGCUUUCUUUCCACAUAAACUGUGGCUCAAACUAAAGACGAGGGUCCAACAAUCGGAGACUUUCAACUUAUAUUUAAGAAAGAGCUAGGAAUAUGCAUUUAUGACCUUUUAUAGCGAAAGUACCACUGCCAAAUGUGUGACUUGCAUUUCUCUCAGCUAAUUGCAUGUGACUUUUAUUUUUUGAUAAUAUAUAAACAUUUGUAAUCUCAGGGAAUGUCUAUCGCCGGUGCUGGAUCCCUUAUCUUAACAUUAUCGUAAAAAAUAUCGAACACUUCUCGACGCCGAUUACAAAAGUAUUACAUGUUAAAAAAGGUAUAUUAACCAACUGCUCAUAACUGCAAUUACUAUUUAACUUUGUUCCAAAACAAGCUUUACGACCUCCAA